Hevea brasiliensis (rubber tree) is the source of this 1430-nucleotide long non-coding RNA. RefSeq lists it as uncharacterized. The transcript has 3 exons. The record is from RefSeq and is a predicted model, not a curated record. NCBI's taxonomy places the organism in Eukaryota, Viridiplantae, Streptophyta, Magnoliopsida, Malpighiales, Euphorbiaceae.
GUAUAACUAAUUUCUAGUUUGCUGUUACUUUUUAGCAUUCAUAAUUGCUUUUCUCUUACAAAUACUUGCAGUUCAAGAUGAGCUUCCUAUUGUUGGAUUCAAUUUCUUGUUACAGGAGCAAAAUUGGACAUCAAAAUUCAAUAAUAAGCAUUGAAAAAAAAAAAAAACAUGAGGAAGACGACGAAGGCGAACCUGAGGAUAAGGAACACGAUGACUUAUUGAAUCAGGAGGAGGAUGAGAACCAAAAUGACAUUUUGAAUCAUGAAAGAACAAAAAGGAAGAGGAAGAGGAAAAGCAAAAGGAGCAAAAUUGGACAUCAAAAUUCAUUUAUAAGCACUGAAAAAAGAAAAAAAAAACAUUAGGAAGAUGAUGAAGACAAACCUGAGGAUAAGGAACAUGAUGACUUGUUGAAUCGGGAGGAGGAUGAGAACCAAAAUGACAUUUUGAAUCGUGAGAGAAGGAAAAGAAAGAGGAAGAAGAAAAUGAAAAGGUAAUUCUAUUUCUUAUUUGCUGCUGUAGCAUCCUUAAUUUCAAUAUUCUCCCUCAGCACACUUGCUUCUUAACUGCUCUAAGGUUAGACAUUACACAAUCUACAGCAUUUAGAACUAUUCUUUUUUUAUUUUUUUGGGUUAUAAAAAAAAAACCAGGUGGAUUCACUCAAAUGUCUUCAGUAUGUAAUGGUAAUCAAUUGCCAAUAGAUGCCUUGUGCCCUGAAAAGUCGGACAAUGUUCUUUCUCAAUCUACAAUAAAUUUUCAUAGAAGCAGUGCAUGCAUUUUGGCCUUCCUGAAGAAUUAGGCUCUGUGAAAUUUCCAAAUUAGUAGUGGCCAUUUUCCCUUUUUUCUCUUUUCCAAUCAUGUUGUUAAUAUGCAUUUUAUUUGAAAGAUGAGAUUCCUACGGUUGGAUUCAAUUUCCUGUUAAAUUGGACAUCAUAAUUCAUUAAUAAGCAUUGAAAAAAAAAAACAUGAGGUAGACAGCGAAGGCGAACAUGUGGAUAAGGAACACGAUGACUUAUUGAAUCUAGAGGAGGAUGAGAACCAAAAUGACAUCUUGAAUCAUGGGAGAAGGAAAAGGAAGAGAAAGAGGAAAGGGAAAAGGAGGAUGCAAAUUCAAUCUUGAAUCAAAGUUCAGUAAUAAGCAUUGAAAACUUUGGUGCUCUCAUUCUGGAGAAAGAACUCUAUCUAACACUGGGAUCUAGUGCAUUUUUUGGCUGCACCAGAAAAUGGCUUGUUGGGUUGUUUGAACCUUGAAAGGUCUGUUUUGUUGAGACCAUUUAGGUUGACACCUUAGCAGUGUUUGUAUGGUAAUUGUUUAGUACAGGUUGGGUGCAUGAUGUGUGACAUGUUGAUGACGGGUAGCACCAUCUUCUGGUUUUUCCCCCUAAACAUCUCUUUUUUUUUUUAAUAAUAUUUUCUGACUAUGCUUGUUUGGA